Long non-coding RNA from Gallus gallus (chicken), 12874 nucleotides. RefSeq lists it as uncharacterized. The transcript is spliced from 5 exons. NCBI's taxonomy places the organism in Eukaryota, Metazoa, Chordata, Aves, Galliformes, Phasianidae. The record is from RefSeq and is a predicted model, not a curated record.
UUGGUGGGAAUAUCUGUUUCUAAAGAAGGCUUGGGAAAAGAAUCGGUGAAAAGAAUAUUUUGUGUACUUCUGAGGUCUUUGUGUCUCUCAGAACUAAUUCUUCAAUUGCAGUGUAGGAAACUUGAUCAGGUAGAACAUUUUUGACAUCUUUUUUCCAAUAGGCAAGUAGAAGUCUUUCUGUUCCACUUUGUCAGUCAUGGUCCGUGAAAUACCAUGGUCCACCAAUACCUCUCUGUUGCUUAACUUAAAAUCAAUGCAUCUUAAGAUCAGUGUUAUAAUUAAUGAUAACAUUUGUGGUAACUUUUAUUAUCAAAUCUGAUAGAUUUGCUUUUUUAGCAGCUGUCUGUGUUAGCCAUGUAGAUCCUGUGCAGCCGUUUACUGAGUGGCAAAUUGCUGAGAUUCAAAAUCAUUAAAGUGCUCAGAAAGUUCCUCAUAAGGCAGGAAGCCAAGCAUAAGACAGCACCUUAGGAAGAAUCAAAUAAUCAUUUGAGUAGGAAGGAAAUUUUUAAGGUUAUCUAGUCUGACUGCCCUGCAAUGAACAACUGCCCUUACAACUCAAAGGAUUCUAUGGUUUCACAAUAACAAUCAGGAAAAUAUGGUUCUAAAUUUUGAUACUUUUGAGUUCUACUGAUAAUAUUACAGAGGGAGAAAGAGACAUAGAAAGAAAAACGAGCACAUCUGUUUAAAAGCUCUCAUAUAUUUUCCUUAGUAUCAAAUGAUUAAUUUGUUGAAAGAAAGCAUAAAUGGAUUGUGAACAACCAGUUAAUUUACAUUUAUAAACAAUCAAAAAUCCUAUUGAAGAAGAAAAAAAGAAAAAACAAAAUUAAAAACAGCAGCAAGAAAAAUAACUAGAAUUUGGGUCUGAUCCUUAUUACAAAUUGAGAGUAUUACAGAUUUCAAGUGUGACUGCAAUCUCCCAGAAUCCUAGUGUCUGACUUUCCCUUUUUCAUUAUUGUUAAUUCUGCAGCUUUGUGUUCUCCUUCUUUUUUCAGAAAUGAAGAAAAAGCUCCCUCAGGAAUCAAGACAAUCUUAACUAUUUCAUGGGAACUAGAUAAUUAAAUUUAUAUCUUCAGGAUAUUGUCCUUUUCAAAAGCACUUUAAUGAAUGCUGUGAAAUCAUAAUUUUUCAGUAAACCUGCAAGACUUUAGUAAGACAAAACAUGGUGAUUGAAAGACAUUUUGGCAAUGACUUCAAAAAUAAAUAAUCUUUAAAUUCUAUAAUUUCUAGUAUUCUAAGAGGAAUACGUAAUGGAAGAAUUAAAAGAGAAUAAUAAAAGAAUUAGGAGAUAGAGACUGUUGGAAAGAACUGAGAAGUGUAGAAAGAUUAGUGAAAAGAAGUGGUCCAGUAGAGAAAAUAAACAACAUUGAAGGAUUUUUAUAUGAAAGAAAGUAGAGAUGCAUGAAGAAGUGGUUUGUCACAGUGAGUAGUGUAAGUCACUGUGUCACUAUGUAGCUGAAUGUUUUGCUCUAUUGUAAGUAAAAAGCUAAGGUUCUUUAUGAAUGUUCACCGGAUGAUUGUUGAAGGGGAACCAUAAUGUUUAUUCAAAGGCAACAGUAAGUAUUUCAGAUCUAUUCAGAUAUAAUCAGGAAAAGAAAUAGAAGUGAUGAUAAAGUAUGACAUGAUAUUGCAUAUUAGAUAAAUAGAGCAAUAUAAAAUAUCUUGUUAUUAUGAGAAAGGUACUUUGCUAGGAUGUUGAAAAAAGAAUCUUAGUCACCAAUCAGGGAAAAAAGUCGGAGGUAUAAAUGUGCGUUAUCCUUUCAUGGACUUGAUUUGCAGAUUUCACUUUAAACAAAAUUAAUAUCCUUUGCACUCUUUAUUUUUCAGUAUUGACAACUAAGCCUCUUGGUAAGAGUUGCAUAGGUGUCAAAGUUUAAGUAAUGAAGAAAACAUUAGCCAAGAACAUGCUACUAAGUUUCCUUUUUGAAAUAUUCUGUUGUAAGAUCUUGGGGGAAGCAGGAAAAUCCAGGCUGCAUCACUUUCUAAAUAUUAAUAUAGAUAUGUAAAUGAGUAGUUGCAGUGGAAUUGCCAGGCCACAGCCUGAACCAGUACAUGGCACAUGAGUGCCUCGAGCUGGGGGAGCCUAGAUCCAUCCUUCUCUCUUCCCAUCCCUGUGGUGCUUCUGGGAGCCCAUAUGCAGUCAAUCUACAUGGGUUUCCUCCCCUCCCUUCCAGCACCUGAGUUCAAAUUGGAGAAGGCUGCAUUCCUCAGCUCACCCUUUUUUCCAAACUGCAGGGAGGGGUGAGUUAAUUCCUCUUUCUUUGAUAUCUUUUUCUGUUGUGCUUGUAUCUCAAAUAAAGGCUUUGUUUGCUUUAUGGUAGUGAUGAAUAGCCUGCAGAUCCAUGACAGACCAAUGCCAAAUUCAAGUGAAAUAAUAACAUUUGGAAGAUUCCAAGAUGAUAAAGAUUCAUGCAAAUUGCAGACCUCAGGAAAAAAAGGAAUACACAAGAGAAUAUAAAUGAACUCCCUGUUGUCAAGAGAAACAACAUACCAUGGAAUUAUUGUGUUAUUCCAUCACUUUUUCCAAUGAGCAAAGAAAGCUCUCCUGUUUAAAAGCCUGGAAUGUGUUUUUUGUUGUCCCUUUAUGGUGUUAGGAGUUCUGCUUCAUAUGGAGGAGUAAAUGAAUUCAGAGAAGGCAAUAAAUAAAUAAUUACCUUGCCACAAUAUCUCUGGAAAAGUGAAUGUACUGACGUGUGUAGUCACUUUGGUGACAAAAAAAGUUGCAUAUAUCACACAAUGACUGUAAUAUCGCCCAGUCAAAUUGCAUUCAGACACAAAGGAGUGAUGGAAAGAGACACUUUAGACCAAGAGGAGUUGUUUCCAGAUGAUUUUCUGUGUACCUUUGAAAUUCUUCUUGGGUAAUUCCAUGUCCCAUCAAAAAAUUGUUAUACUCAAAGAUAUCAGUGACUCUGAAUGUAACUAUCAAAAGAAAAAUGUAUUUGGAAGCAUCCUUAAAAGAAUAUUUAAGAGUUUUUGAAUAUCUAUUAGACUAUGAAUGAAUAACUUAUAAUAGAAGGAAAUAAUAGUUCUCCAUUUUUCCACUUCUAUAGUAAGAUGGAGUAGUAUAAUGAAAAUCCUUAAUAAGAUUUAGGAUGGCUUAUUUUGCCUUUGAUGUUAUUUUGGACUUUACAGUUCCAGUGGCAUUGUAGUCUUUUCUGUGAGACUCUAGAGAUAUGUUCAGUGCUUUGAAAUGAUUGCGAAUAAUCCAUUUAUUAGCAAGUAGUUAUUUAUGUGUUUAUGACUAUUUUCAGGCCACUUAAUGAAAACUGUACUUUACAGUUCAUUUCUCCAGCAAUCUGGGAAUAAAUUACAGUGUCAUUAAAGCUGGAGUGGCAGAAUACACAAUUAAUGAAUUGCAAAAGUAUGCUGGUAAAGCGAUGCUGGAAACAGUAUGAGAUUAAUAAAGCUGCAAUGCAGUUCAAGGUGGAAUUUCUGAGAGAAAGCCUGUGUCACUCAUAGUCAUUUUUCUGUGUUAAUAUAGUAUUUCAGGUUGAUUUUAAGAGUGACAUCAAACUUUUUACAUACAAGGUGUGCUCCAAAAGUAAUGCCUCCUAUUUUAUUAUGUUGGCCCACAACAUCAGAGGCAAAUGUUAGUGGUAUAGCAGUAGAGGUUGAACCUCCCUAACAAUAUUCUGCUAUGCUUUGUUGCUCUGUGACACAAGGCUGCAGGACAGACAAAAAGGCACGUGACAUAGAAGUGCAUAUGAAGCAAAGGUGUGUCAAUGGAUUUUUCCAUGAGGAAAAAACUCAUCCAUUUGCAGACCAACUGUGGAUGUGAGCACAGUGAGGUUGUGGGUAAUGUGUUUCAGCAGUGGUGUCAGUGACAUGUAAUAGGAGGCAUGUUUUGGACAGCCAUACAGAUUUUCAUGAGAGCAGCGUGCAGGCCCUUGUUUAUUGCUGGCAAAAAAUGCAUAGCAAAUGGUGGUGACUAUGUUGAAAACUAGUGUUUUAUAGCUGAGAAUUUGCUCUAUCACAUAGUGCUGUUGUGCUCUUUGUAGAUAGUUUCUUUAUAGUCUCCAUGUAAAUAAAUAGGAGGCAUUACUUUCCGAGCUACCAGCGUAGGAGGAUUUCUUAUCACAGGAAUGCAGGCAAAUCUAGAGCAAAAAAUGGCAGCUCUAACCACUCAAAAACAUUUCAGAACUAAGCAGGUAGUAGACUGCAUCAGCACAUACAAUUAAUCACUACAUGAUAAAAUUCACUACAUAAUACAGCUAAAUAUCUCAUCACAUGGUACAACUCACCACAUCAUAUGAUUCAGCAUCUUAGCCCAAACCUAAUUCAAAAGAACCUGCAAAACUACCACUGGAAGUGUUAAAUAAAUUUUACAUUAAACGACUCUCUAUAAAAAACUUUUUCAAUGAUAAUUUCAACAAUAUGAUCAUUAGUAUUCACUUUAUUUGAUAAUAGUUUCAAAAAUAUUGUAUUAAUUAUUAUUUAAUGAUGUAAUAAAAAGCUUGAUAUUAGAAGACUUCACAAUGAAAUACUUCAUGCAUGUAGAUAUCAGAUUUUUUGUCAGAAAAAUUAUUACUGAAAAUUACAAUUUAAAUAAAUUGCUUCCUGCUUAUUUUGUGGUGUUUUCCAAAUGAAUAAUCUGAAAAACAGCGUACAAUCUAAAUAAUAUAUUUGAUUUCACAUUUUCCCUUUUUCAGUAGCUGUGGUGAAAACCUGUAUUUGUAAAGCUGAUAACUUGAUUAUCGCAUAACCAACUGUUGCUCUAAAUGAAGACAUCUCACAUAUUUAAAAUUAAUAGUAUACUACUGAAACAGUCUUGAAAUGUAGGUUUUAUGAUUUAUCAAAAUAAUUUCAACCGAUAAAAAUUAUAUAAUUAAGACAUAAAAUUCAUUUAAAAAUUUAAAACUGCAGUAACAGGAAUGAUGUUUUUUUGGUUGAAAGCAAUAAGCAUGUUUUGGAACUUACAAUAUUUAACUCAUUUGAAAUAUAAAACAAAUUAAAUCUAGGGAACUUUUCAAAAGCAUAAUCAUUUAUGAUUAUGUAAAAUAGAAUAGUCAACAUUUAUGUGUUAAGGAUGGUGACAGGAAUAUGUUGGCCCAUUUAUCUGUUCUUAAUUAUUCAAAAAAAAAAAAAAAUCAAAAUCAGGUCCCAGAUUACUGCUCAGAGGUAGACACAAUAAGAAAGAGACAAAAAAUGCAGAAGUUGCACUGUGUCUGGUAUUUUCCUUGCCCUUUAUGUAUUAAGUUCUUCAUCUUUUAGUAUUGUCCCAUGUUCCUUAUUCUUCACUGUCAUUAUUCAAACCAUACAGAUAUUUACACUCAUAUUAAUAAUGUAUGUUUAUGUGUGUUUCUAUGUAAUAUCUUGACCUUCAGAUACGCUUUCCAAUGUAAUUCUGUUUGGAUUUAGCCUAAUCUCUACUCCAAGGAUAACAAUGAUUUAGUAGUAACAAAAGUAAUAGAUUACAUAUAAUAAUAGAAAUAAUAAGGAAUAUUGUCUUGUUCUGUAUUUGUUUAGCAUUAUUGCAUGGGGAUGUUACGUUGGGAAUUAUGACAGUUGAUAACAAAGACAGCAGUUUGAUCAGAGAGAUACAAGCUAGCGUUAAACAAACUGUUUUGGAUACUGAAUUACUUCUGUGUAAUUAUAGACCUCAGAGCAGGCUGCUGAAGCCAUCCAGGUCCUGCAAAAAUACUUACUUGAUUCAUUUAUGUUGACUUUUUACUUCAGUGUCUUUGAAAAGCUCCUCAGCUAACCCAUUUAACUCCCAGCAGCAAGCACUUGUGCACACAGGACUGAUAUGAAAUAAGUGGUCAAUAUGAAACACAUUCAUUCAUAGAGAGACUCGAACUGAUUAUACUGGUGAGAAGAACUACCACAACUGGUGAUCACUGUCGUAUCUGUGAAGAUAUGCAUCACGACGUGUUAUAGAUGUACAUCUGCAUGUGAAGUAUCAUAACAAGCAAGCCCACAACACUGUUUAUCCCAUGGUGAGGGUGAAUUUGGCUGUAGAUAAAGAAAGGCUGUAUGCUUGGCCGCGUGGUAAUGCUUCUCUCCUCUUCCUGCACUGUGCAGCUUGCUUACUUUAUCUCAAUUACACUAUCCUGCUAUCUCACUGGUCUCUCUAAUCUCAGAGGUAGGGCUUCUUUCCUGUUAGCUGGUGUUAGCGACACUACAUAUGCAGUGCCAAUUAACUUAGAGCUAUCUCAGGGGAGAAAGGACUGUUAAUCAGCAGUCCUUAAAAUUCAGCAUAUAAAAUACACAUCGCCAGUAACCUGAAUAGUCCUGAAGCAAUUAUGGUAAACCCACAACUCUGACAUUUCCAGUCAUAGUAUAGCAAUCUUCAGUUGCAUGCCAUUUUUUCACAGUCACAUUGAGAAGAAAUGAAGCAGUGCUGUCCUUUUCCUGAUGUCUACUGUUUUGAAAAAAAGGAUAAUGUCAAGAAAAUUUGACAAGAUGCAUGCUUUUAUUUUGUUUCUUAAGGAUUUCUUUUAAACAGUUGAAUUGUUUCCAAACAGCUAGACAAUCAUUUAAGGAUACGGAAUAUUUAGAUUUUCUAGUUAGCUAUAUAUAUAAAGUGUAGACUGUCUCUCAAUUUGUGCCAUACUGAGACAAAUAUUUGUUCCAGUAAAGUACUUCUGCUGUAUUUUUUCCUUAACCUGUCUUUCCUUCAUUCCUUCCUUCCUCCCUUUAUGAUCUCCUUUCUCCCUCUCUCAUCCUCUAGCUCUUCCUUUCCCUCGCUCUCCGUCUUCCUUUUUCAUCUUCCUUUUCUUCUUGUCUUUCCCAUUAAGAGGCCAGCUGGAGAGGCUUUGGCUCAUUCAUUUCUAGAAAUCCAACUUUUGCCUCUACAAAGAGCUCCUGUUGAGUUUUUGUUGAAUGCCCUUAAUUGUCUGGUUCCUUAUGAAAUCACUGAUGAAGUUCUUGAGGAUAAAGCGUAUGUAAGUGGAUUCUUUAAAUCCAUACAUUCUUGGUGAAUAACAUCUUGUCUCCCCUGAAUCUCAAGUGCAAGGGAAUUUCUUUCAAGUGAGAACAUUCCAUUUUCUCUUGCAAUGCACCUUUAAAGUGAAAUAAAGAUUAACUGUUUUUUUUUUUUUUUUAACAGAGUUCACAGAAUAAUACCCAUUCACUUUAUAAAUUCCAACUAUGGAAUCAAAACAAAGUCAAGCCAGUCCAUGGCUAAGUACGAAUUACUAUUUCACUCAUCUUCUCUCUAUUAUUAUAACUCAUAAUCAAUUUUUAUUAUAAAUGCUAAUCAUGGAUCUUGCUCAGGGCUGCUAUAUGUUACUGUAACUCAAAAAAAAAAAAUUAUGGACAUAUAAUACAAAAAACAAAACAAAAACCCCACAAAACAAAAAAAUCUUAAUGACCAGUGUGUUUCUGAAAUGUUUGUGAGAGUAGGAAGCAUACUGGGCAGCUGUGCUUGCAGGCAGUUGCUUUGAUAUUAACUUCCUACUUCUUAGUAAAACUGGCUCCAGGAAUUGUAGAUAUGAGUGCCUUAGAAUUCAGCAUAUUUUCCAUUUAUGUCCCUACAUAGCUGAGACCAGCCUGAAAUUCUUUCGUAUUCCUCUAUUCACUGGACAACAUUAAUGUUCCUUGUUCUCCUCCAUGACACCAAUUAACACUUCUGGGAGACAAGAUUUUGAUUAAAAGGUGGAGAGAGAAGAGAAAUUUUCAUAUAUACUUCUUUGAGAGGAAAACAAAGCAAGAAUUGCCAAGUCCAAAGAGAGAAGAAUCCCUCUGGCAGCCCUGGAUGAGAGGAAUGUUCUUUAAUUAGCACAGAAGAUGAUUGUCUGCUUAAGUGGUGGGCAAUUCUACAUCAUUCAGAUAAGGUUUGAUUCCUCUCCCUGAAGGAUUGACAGGGAAAGGAAAAGAAGAGUAAAGGGAUCCACCAACAGAUGGAUGCAGAGUAUUGGUCUUAAAGACAGCCUGUUCUGCUGGAAGGAUAUAGUAUAUCCUCAAAGGUGGAUCUCAAUAAGGAUUUAUCAGUGAAUUGUGAGAGAACGUUUAGUUUUAGAAGAGUUAAUUUGAAGGACACUGAAGAAACAAAUUAUCCCCAAAUCAAUGGUAAAGUUAUUAAGCAUGAAGAAAUCCUACGUGAUAUACCCAAAUCCAUCCAGUGAAACAAGGAACACUCCACUUCACCCCAAAGAAAUAAGGCACCUUCCAGAAAAAGAAUUUGUUGUUUUGAUUAUUUAAAAAAGGUAUGUUAUGAACACAGGGUGACACUAUUUUUGCAUUUGAUAUUUCUUUCUUUUGUUUCCUGUGGAAAUAUUUCUAGUAAAUAACACUCUUUUGCAAGGCAGCAGACAUUCUGAAUUGGAAAACUAAUCUAUAAAAAUAAACAUAGUCUGGCCAUUGUCUCUGCUUUUUCCUUUACUAGUCAAAGAAUUUGAGCUGCGCUAAGUAUUUUCACAGGAGUGAAAUAAGAUCAGAUCUUUACGACUUAUGAUUAGUUCAUAAAGUAUUGUUAGGGAAAUUUAAAUCAUUACUUUCACUGUUUUGUAGGUUUUCAAAUUGCACAAUUCAUCAUUUCUUUGUUAUCAUGCUAAUCUGAUGUGAACCUAACACUGUUUAGUGCCACAUAUUUGUUAUUUUUUGUCAUACAGUGCGUGCUGUAAAAAUUAAUGAAUGGCACAUACUUGCACUCAUUAAAAGUAACUUCUAAAUCUGCUAGAAAAAAAUUCAAAGGUGGUAGAAACCUUUUAAAAUCAUGAUUAGCCUGAAGGCAUAAAAAAUUAUUUGUUUACACUCUGUCUGAAAUGAUAUUGGAGAUUUAAAAAAGGGUAAGUAGAAUCAGAGUCUGCUAUCAUGUACUUACUAGGGAGAAAAAAAAAGUGUUUCUAAAUUUGCAGAGUGUGUUCUACUUUUAGACCAUACAUAUAAAAAACGAAAGGGUCUUCUACAACUCAGAGCACAGAUUUAUAGGCUCUAAGGUCAAAAAGAAUCACAGUUAUCAACUUAUCUGACCUACAAAAUAACUUAAGCUAUUAAAGUUCACCUCUCAUUCCUGCAAUAGACUAAUUAUUCUUUCCUGCUGUAUAAGUGAAUGUUAUUGAGCCAAAUGUGAAUUGCUUUGUUUGUCCUUGGAAAGACCCUCUAGAAAAGGUGUUACUAUCCUGCUAUAAACCAAUUCAAUUGAUUAAAAUCAUCUGAGUCGCUUGCUUCCUCACAGUGAGAUUGCUUCAGCUGUCUGCAUUUUUACUAUCAAAUAUGAGCAAAAGGAUUGCUUAUAUCCCCGAGGAGAAGUUAUCUGACUGCAUCUAUCUUAUUACUAUCAGGCUAGCAGUUUGGUUUAGAAAAACCCCGAAUCAGGCCUGCAAUGUUAGGAUUUAUCUUCAUACUGUUUUUUGUUUUGUUUUGUUUUGGAGACAGUUCAAUGAUAUUUGGCUAGGAAAAGUAUGUUUUCUAUUAUCAGAUUGUUACCUACAUCUUUUUUAGAACUCAAUAAUUAUAUCUAUACACUAAGCAUGUUAGCAAUGUGUGCAAUUUGGUGUACACUGAUACAUUGGUUAAAUGUAUUUUUUUGUUUGAUUUGGUCUUGCAUCAAAUAAUUUUAAUGCCCUAAAACAUAAAUACAUAAAAAAAGAAUUAAGAAGUCCUUGUUAUUACUACAUUUUAUCUUUCCAUGGGGGAAAAAACAACAACAAAAAAAGAUAUUGAGACAUGAGCUUGAAUAUUUAUUCCUGCAAAAACAAGAAUCCCAUAGUGCUAGAACACAAGGUAUUGCUGGAUUUCCUCAAAGGCUACUGAGCUGGCACAAUAGAAACAGGAAGGGCUCAGCUUUCUUCUCAAUGAUUUGAAAUUUAUCAUCCCUGUGACCAACUUUGAGUGCAAUAAUUUAAUUUCUAAUGCCAUCUUUUAAUAAGUCACUUGUGUGUAUAUAUUAUUUUAAGCAUGUGAAAGCUGUUAUUAAUGUCUAUGAAAACAUUUGUCUCCAUAAAUUUGUAUUUCUGCCGCAGUGCCUAGGAGCACCAACUAAACUCUGGAUAAUUUGACACAGGAUAGGCAGGAAAACAUAAGACAGACACUUGACAAACUAUUGAUAUGACAUGCUUAUUUGUACAGCGUGUAUGUAAAAGCAAGCACCUUUUCUGAUUCAUUCAUAGACUAUCUGUUGGAUGAGGUGACCUUACUUAAAUUUCCUAGCUAAACUUUCCCAAACAGAUCUCUUCAAGGCUGAACAUCACCUAAAUUGUCCUGAUCCCAAGUAGCCAGACUCCCAGGAUUCACUAAGAACGCCGGUCUGACUUUUAAAUGAAGAUUAAAAAAAUAAAUAAACAGUAGCAUCUUGUUUUUCCUGAUGCAAUAUCCAUUGCAUUGAAGGCAGAUGGAUAAGAAAAAUGGAAGCCAAAUCCUGUUAAUUAAGGAAAAAAUGAAUGAUCCUAAAAAUCCUUACUCGUUCUGUAAAAGGUAUCUGUCUCUAUUUAGAUUUUCUUUAAUUUUCACCCUGUAGCUGGACUAGCCAAUAUAUUUAUCCAAGGGGUCCUAGAAAGAUCUUCAGGAGUUUGUACCAGGGCUCAACAGCUUAAAUUUUAUGGUACUGAGAGCAAUAAAAAAAUCUUUAUUUGGUAUCUUCAUUCCGUACCAGCUACAAUAUCAGGUAAAACAUGCAUUUUGAAAUUAUAACUGUUGGCUAAAGAAAACUAGGUUAUCAGAUUAAUGUAAUUUCUCAGGUUAUAUUUGUCAUGGCUGAUGAAAAAAUAAACUAAUGAUCUUCUCACUAGCCUGUCAGCUUUGUCUUCUUAGCUAGUGAAGGGUGAAAUAAAUUAUGCUGGUAAAUAUCUUGAUUAUAGUGAAAAAUCAAGAAAAUAAAGAUUUAUGAAAUCAGAGAUAUUUCUCCCUGUAAUUAACGAUAUCUUUUUUUUUUUUUAUGUGAUUUGCAACGUUUAGUAUUGCUAAAUCUUAAGCAAUUAUUGGUGAGACAUAUGAAUAAUGCAGAUGGCUAAUUUGAUAACAUCUACUUAUUUGUGGAUAAUUUACAGUUCCAAAGUUCCCUCAUAUAUGCUAUACUUUGUAUAGCAGUAUGAGUAGUACCAGUGUUUAUAUUAAACAUUAAAAAAUGCUUCAAUAAUCAUCAGUUAAUAAAGAUGAACUUAAUCCUUCAAAUAUGCUGGAUGUGAAAAUGACUCUUUUGCAGUUCACAAAAACUUUAUUACAUUUUUUAGUCUGUUCUAUUUUUAUUUUUCUCACUUUGUGGCUUUGUCUGGAACAGUAACUAAAAUUAACAAAAGUAUUUCUUGUAUUUUUAAAUAACAGAAAUAGUGAGGUGUUGGAAAACUGUCUCUAGUUUGAGUCUGCAGGCUGAUUUCUAAACAAAAAUUUGAGUAAGUCAGGGAGUCAUCCAAACCUGGAGUGCUUAUCUAUACAGACAUCUUGUUACCGGAUGUAGAUCUAUCAUACAUGUGCAGUUAUGAAAUUCAAUACAGUACAGUUCUGAAACUUUUGUCUGUUCAGUUAGCCAAUAUUUGCAUUACUAAUCUCAUCUGCCUUUUAAGAGGUUCUGAUAAACUCAGCUGUGAAGCACGCACAGCUGUCUGCAGGCUAGGCUAUUCCUGCUGAAUGUUUUUGCUGAAUAAAACCCUUAAAAAUACUGAAUAUUGGAAAGGGAAAAGGAAAAUUCCUUACUUUGUAAGUAAAGCAUGGGGUUAGUACAAUUCUAAUUUUAGAGUGGAGUUUGUGGUCUCUGGAAAUACUUACGUGACUUUUUAGUUAUAAUUUAGAUAAGCAAAAUUAAUUAAAAUGAAGACAACAGAAAAUGUUUAAUAUUAAAUACGAAGCUUCUAAGAAAUUUGUCUUGUUAUAGCAUAUAGGGAAAUUUAUAUGAAAGUUGAAUUUGAGGCAGACCAUGAUAGAGAGUUGGCUUUAUAUGUUUUCCUACGCAUAUUGUUCUUUGUAAAGCGAAAAUAAGACCUGCCAUUGUAACUCAUGUGAUUUCUAUUAUUUUGUUCCUCAAUAUAAGCUUCAAUUGUGACUUAAAGAGAAUUUGAUUUCUUUGUGCAUCAGUUCUCUCUCUGAAAAUGAGCACAAUAAAACUUCCUUUCCUCUAGCCAGUAUCCACCUUGUUUUCCCUUUUAAGCUAGUGAGUAUUUUGAACAAAGGCUCUUACCCAGUUUAUGAAAAGAUACUUAUUUUUCACAUUGAACUUUUUUCUUCAACAAGAAUAACAGCAACAACCGCAUUAUUAAUAAUAUAUCAGGCUCUAUUAUCUUGGUCAGGAGCCAAAGAAGGAAAAGCCCUUUAUUCAGUUCCACUAUCUCCUGUUCAGUUCAGAUUUAUCCCUGAACUGUUAUAAUAAAAAGUCUUUAAAGCAAAGAAUCAUUCAGCUUGAAGUUUUCUGCAGUAAUUAUUGCUCGUUGCAAUCCCCUUUAGAUAGCUGCAUCUUUUUUAAUGACUUAGUUCUGCACGUCAUUCCUUAGUGUUACUUGGAAAUUAUUGUGAAAAUACAUUUUGAGUAUCAUUUAAAGACAAAGACAAUGUGCAAACAAAAUAUUUGAUCUUUGAAUUACAGUGUUUGAAAACUUCUCAGUAAUUCUCUGGAUUAAGGCAAUGGUGCACAGCGAACAAAAACUACAGAAAGGAAAACAAAUGACUAUCUAUACUGCUUUUCUCAGAUAGCCCACUAAAAAUGGAGUUUACUUGCUUCAUUAAUUCCUCUUUUAUUCUUGUAGAGAUAUUUUAGAACAGGACACUGCAUAUCUAUUAAGUGAUUUCCUAAGCCAUCGUGUCUGGGGUGGAGGGGAAGGCAGGUGGGCCUGACGGGGUAGGUGGCCCCAUUGCAAGUUAAAUUAGCAGUAAGCACUCAGCUUUACUGCUGUGCAAGAAGUGAGGGUUUGAGGAUAGAGGUUUCAGGAGUGGAGGUUAACUGCUGUAUCUCCCAGUUGACACUGAAGAAGAAAAAGAAGGGAGCUGGGUAGCUGCGCUGUCUGUAGUA